AUUGAACGCUGGCGGCAGGCCUAACACAUGCAAGUCGAGCGGAUGAAGGGAGCUUGCUCCUGGAUUCAGCGGCGGACGGGUGAGUAAUGCCUAGGAAUCUGCCUGGCAGUGGGGGAUAACGUCCGGAAACGGGCGCUAAUACCGCAUACGUCCUGAGGGAGAAAGUGGGGGAUCUUCGGACCUCACGCUAUCAGAUGAGCCUAGGUCGGAUUAGCUAGUUGGUUGGGUAAAGGCCUACCAAGGCGACGAUCCGUAACUGGUCUGAGAGGAUGAUCGGUCACACUGGAACUGAGACACGGUCCAGACUCCUACGGGAGGCAGCAGUGGGGAAUAUUCGACAAUGGGCGAAAGCCUGAUCCAGCCAUGCCGCGUGUGUGAAGAAGGUCUUCGGAUUGUAAAGCACUUUUAGUUGGGAGGAAGAGAAGUAAGUUAAUACGUUGCUGUUUUGACGUUACCAACAGAAUAAGCACCGGCUAACUUCGUG
This 484-nucleotide ribosomal RNA is filed under the name uncultured bacterium. RNAcentral's name for it is "partial 16S ribosomal RNA". It matches the Rfam family "Bacterial small subunit ribosomal RNA", at positions 30 to 507 of the family's 1533-position model. The record is from RNAcentral.